This 795-nucleotide ribosomal RNA is filed under the name Enterococcus thailandicus. RNAcentral's name for it is "bacterial SSU rRNA". It matches the Rfam family "Bacterial small subunit ribosomal RNA", at positions 23 to 789 of the family's 1533-position model. Lineage: Bacteria; Bacillati; Bacillota; Bacilli; Lactobacillales; Enterococcaceae. The record is from RNAcentral.
CUCAGGACGAACGCUGGCGGCGUGCGUAAUACAUGCAAGUCGUACGCUUUUUCUUUCACCGGAGCUUGCUCCACCGAAAGAAAAGGAGUGGCGAACGGGUGAGUAACACGUGGGUAACCUGCCCAUCAGAAGGGGAUAACACUUGGAAACAGGUGCUAAUACCGUAUAACAAUCGAAACCGCAUGGUUUUGAUUUGAAAGGCGCUUUCGGGUGUCGCUGAUGGAUGGACCCGCGGUGCAUUAGCUAGUUGGUGAGGUAACGGCUCACCAAGGCCACGAUGCAUAGCCGACCUGAGAGGGUGAUCGGCCACAUUGGGACUGAGACACGGCCCAAACUCCUACGGGAGGCAGCAGUAGGGAAUCUUCGGCAAUGGACGAAAGUCUGACCGAGCAACGCCGCGUGAGUGAAGAAGGUUUUCGGAUCGUAAAACUCUGUUGUUAGAGAAGAACAAGGAUGAGAGUAACUGUUCAUCCCUUGACGGUAUCUAACCAGAAAGCCACGGCUAACUACGUGCCAGCAGCCGCGGUAAUACGUAGGUGGCAAGCGUUGUCCGGAUUUAUUGGGCGUAAAGCGAGCGCAGGCGGUUUCUUAAGUCUGAUGUGAAAGCCCCCGGCUCAACCGGGGAGGGUCAUUGGAAACUGGGAGACUUGAGUGCAGAAGAGGAGAGUGGAAUUCCAUGUGUAGCGGUGAAAUGCGUAGAUAUAUGGAGGAACACCAGUGGCGAAGGCGACUCUCUGGUCUGUAACUGACGCUGAGGCUCGAAAGCGUGGGGAGCAAACAGGAUUAGAUACCCUG